This 425-nucleotide ribosomal RNA is filed under the name uncultured prokaryote. RNAcentral describes it as "bacterial SSU rRNA". It matches the Rfam family "Bacterial small subunit ribosomal RNA", at positions 355 to 796 of the family's 1533-position model. The record is from RNAcentral.
UGGGGAAUCUUGCACAAUGGGCGCAAGCCUGAUGCAGCAACGCCGCGUGCGGGAAGAAGGCCCUCGGGUUGUAAACCGCUUUCAGGAGGGAAGAAACUGACGGUACCUCCAGAAGAAGGUGCGGCCAACUACGUGCCAGCAGCCGCGGUAACACGUAGGCACCAAGCGUUAUCCGGAUUUAUUGGGCGUAAAGAGCUCGUAGGCGGUUCAGUCAGUCGGGUGUGAAAACUCAAGGCUCAACCUUGAGAGGUCACCCGAUACUGCUGUGACUAGAGUGCGGUAGGGGAGCGGGGAAUUCCUGGUGUAGCGGUGAAAUGCGCAGAUAUCAGGAGGAACACCAGUGGCGAAGGCGCCGCUCUGGGCCGUAACUGACGCUGAGGAGCGAAAGCAUGGGUAGCAAACAGGAUUAGAUACCCCCGUAGUCC